RNAcentral lists this ribosomal RNA (1058 nucleotides) under uncultured Bacteroidota bacterium. RNAcentral's name for it is "bacterial SSU rRNA". It matches the Rfam family "Bacterial small subunit ribosomal RNA", at positions 52 to 1121 of the family's 1533-position model. Lineage: Bacteria; Pseudomonadati; Bacteroidota. The record is from RNAcentral.
CACAUGCAAGUCGAGGGGCAGCACGAGAUAGUUUACUAUUUUGGUGGCGACCGGCGCACGGGUGCGUAACGCGUAUGCAACCUACCUUAUACUGGAGUAUAGCCCGGAGAAAUCCGGAUUAAUCCUCCAUAGUACUGAUGAUUUGCAUAAUGAAUCAGUUAAAGUUUCGGCGGUAUAAGAUGGGCAUGCGUCCUAUUAGCUAGAUGGAGAGGUAACGGCUCACCAUGGCAACGAUAGGUAGGGGGCCUGAGAGGGUGGUCCCCCACACUGGUACUGAGACACGGACCAGACUCCUACGGGAGGCAGCAGUGAGGAAUAUUGGUCAAUGGGCGAAAGCCUGAACCAGCCAUGCCGCGUGCAGGAAGAAUGUCCUAUGGAUUGUAAACUGCUUUUAUUUGGGAAUAAACCCCUCUACGUGUAGAGGGCUGAAGGUACCAAAUGAAUAAGCACCGGCUAACUCCGUGCCAGCAGCCGCGGUAAUACGGAGGGUGCAAGCGUUAUCCGGAAUUAUUGGGUUUAAAGGGUCCGCAGGCGGACAUAUAAGUCAGUGGUGAAAGCCUACAGCUUAACUGUAGAACUGCCAUUGAUACUGUAUGUCUUGAAUUUGAUCGAAGUGGGCGGAAUGUGUAAUGUAGCGGUGAAAUGCUUAGAUAUUACACAGAACACCGAUAGCGAAGGCAGCUCACUAGGUUAUAAUUGACGCUCAUGGACGAAAGCGUGGGGAGCGAACAGGAUUAGAUACCCUGGUAGUCCACGCCGUAAACGAUGAUUACUCGUUCUUGCUAUUUAUAGUAGGGGCUAAGCGAAAGUGAUAAGUAAUCCACCUGGGGAGUACGAUCGCAAGGUUGAAACUCAAAGGAAUUGACGGGGGCCCGCACAAGCGGUGGAGCAUGUGUUUAAUUCGAUGAUACGCGAGGAACCUUACCAGGCUUAAUGUAGAUUGCAUGCGUGAAACAUGCCAGUCUUCGGACAUCUACAGUGCUGCAUGCUGUCGUCAGCUCGUGCGUGAGGUGUGGGUAAGUCCCGCAACGAGCGCACUCCUUAUCUUUAGUUGCCAA